NNNNNNNNNNNNNNNNNNNNNNNNNNNNNNNNNNNNNNNNNNNNNNNNNNNNNUGGCACCAACAGGUCAAAGGUGGGACGAGAUUCAGUUGGCAUCAACAAGACCAAAGUGAGAUUGGAUCCAGCUGGCACCAACAGGUCAAAGGUGGGACGGGAUUCAGUUGCCAUCAACAGAGUCAAAGCAAGACAGCAUCUGGUUGGCAUGAACAAGACCAAAGCAGGAGGGGAUCCAGUUGGCAUCAACAAGACCAAAGCAGGACGGGAUCCAGCUGGCACCAACAGGUCCAAGGCAGGAUGGGACCCAGCUGGCACAGUCCGCGUCACCCGACCUAAAGUGGGAUGGGAUCCACUUGGUACCAUGCGGAUUGCCCGUCCCAAAGCAGAGCGGAUUGUAGUGGGAGCCAACCAGAGCACCAGGAGUUGGGUUUUGGUGGGAACCACGCCAGGCACCAAGCCCCACGCAGGACAGGAUCCAGUGUGGUCCACCAGGAGCACCCAGGGGCUGGCAGGAUGGGAUGCCAUUAGUGCCAUCCAAGGCAUUAUGGGACAGGAGAUUGCUGGUGUCACGCAGAGCACCAGGUCCAACGCAGAGCAGAACUCAGCCCCUACCACGAGAUUCCAAGCAAGUGCUGCUGUAUCGAGUAACCACAGCCUGGGAGAACCAGGUCCAGGGGGUCCCACGGGGAGCACACACCCUGCAGUAGUACCAGAUCCAGAAAGUACCAUGAAGAGUGAAGCUCCUACAGCAGAACCAAGUCUAGAAGGGACCUCACAGGUUUCACGUCCCUCAGCAGAACUGGGUUCUGAAGGUCCCAUAAGGAGCACACAACAUGCAGCAGAUCUAUGUCCUGAAAGUACCAUGUGGAGCAUAUAUCCCACAGCAGAACCAGCUCCAGAAGGUACCAUGAAAAGCACAGAUCCUAUAACAGAACUGAGUCCAGAAGGUACCAUGAGCAUGCAUCCUUUAACAGAACUGGACCCAGAUGGUAACGUGGGGAGUGCACAUACUUCAGUAGAACCAGACCCUAGAGGUGCCAUGAAUAGCACAGGUCCUACAGCAGGACUGGAUUCAGAUGAUAUCAUGGGGAGUACACAUCCCACAGCAAAACUCGGUCCAGAUCAUACCAUGGGGAGCACACAUCCUGCAGCAGAACCAGGUCCAGAAGGUACUGUGAAGAGCACAGGUCUUACAGCAGAAUCAGUUCUAGAAGGGACCAUGUGGAGCGCACAACUCACAGCAGAGCUGAGUCCAGGAGGCACUGUAGGCACACAUCCUGCAGCAGAAUUGGAACCAGAUGUUACCAUAAGGAGCACGCAUUCUGCAGCAGAACCAGGUCUGGACAGUAUCACACAGAGCCCACAUCCUGCAGCAGAGUUCAGUCUGAAUAAUAUAAUAUGGAGCACACAUCCCACCACAGAACUGGGUCCAAAUGUUACCACACGGGAUGCACAUCCUUCAGCAGAACUGGGUCCUGAUGGUACUGUGAGCACACAUCCCACCACAGAACUGGGUCCAAAUGUUACCACAUGGGAUGCACAUCCUUCAGCAGAACUGGGUCCAGAUGGUACAGUGAGCACACAUCCUGCAGCAGAAUUGGUUCCAGAUGUUACCACGAGGAGCACACGUCCUGCAGCAGAACUGGGUCCAGAUGUUACCAUGAGGGGCACACAUUCUGCAGCAGAAUUGGAACCAG
This is a long non-coding RNA of Numida meleagris (helmeted guineafowl), 1693 nucleotides long. Lineage: Eukaryota; Metazoa; Chordata; Aves; Galliformes; Numididae. The record is from Ensembl.